Long non-coding RNA from Anolis carolinensis (green anole), 1811 nucleotides. Lineage: Eukaryota; Metazoa; Chordata; Lepidosauria; Squamata; Anolidae. The record is from Ensembl.
AGUGCAGAUCUGAGUAGGGUGGCCUUUUGCAGCUGACAGAUAGUAAAUUAUUAUUAUUAUUUGCUGCACAUAGCAAACAAGAUUACUAUGCUGGCUUUUGUAUUGGUUCAGACACUUCCCAGGUGUCUAGGACUAUGUGCUGAAUUGGCUAAUAAUAUGUGCGGAUCCAAGUAGGGUGGCCUUUUGCAGCUGACAGAUGGUAAUUUUGUCAGUGCUGAUUGUUUUCAAAUGCUGGCAGGAAUAAUUUGGCUUUUUAGAUCAUGGUUUGUGGUCUCAUGAAGAUGAACUAAGCUCUCAUCUUUUGCCAUUCUAUUCAGAAAAGGGGGUGGUUCCUUUUUGUUUUGUUUUGAUAAGGUAGGACACUAACAGUGGUCUAUAUAUAAGUCAAGCCAAGAUGUUUUGACUAAAAUUUGUAGACUUAUACAUGAGUAAAUAUGUCUCAGAGCAAACCAUCUCCCAGCUAAGGAGGUUUAAAAAUUAUGUAGGGUGCAUCUAUACAAUCAAAUCAAUGCAGUUUGACACCACUUUAAUUGUUAUAACUCAAUGCUAUGGAAACUUGCCUUGAAUCUAGAAUGUAUUCAUUCAUUAUCUUGUUUUCUUCCAUUUUUUUCAAGGGGAAUAUGAAUAAAGUUCAUGACAAUAUCCAUAACUUUUUUGAAUCCAUUAUGUGUUUCCUUUGAGUGCAUUCAUGGGUGGAUUUAUUUAUUUGUUUAGGUAGUUUAAUUACCAUGCUGCCUUUUCCCAAAAUGGGACUUAAAAAAUCUUAGGACAAAAGUUAAAACAAAAUAGCUAAAGCACUAUUGUGCUGUGAAAGUUAAAACAGAAUUUUAAAAACAUAUUCAAAGCAUUACUUUAAGACAUUAAUUUCUAACAGUUAUAAACAAAUGAAAUUCUUAUGGCAUUUUAAAUAAAUGCAUACGGGAUUUGGGGUGUUGGUGGUGGUGGUGGGGACUGUGUGUUUUAAAAUGUAUUUUUAAUUGUAUUUAUUAUAUUUUAAUUGUAUUUCUAACCUAACCCACACAGGAUUAUUUAAUUGUUUUUUUUCUCCAUUUUUGGCUUUGUUUCUUUUUAAAGGGGCCAAUACUAUUUUCCUCCAGACCACACAUUUCUAGCAUUGCAAUCAUUUAACAUUUCAAUUGGGCAGUUAGAAAUUGGAUCUAGGCUUCAAAAGAAAAGAGGUUAAAAAGUUACAAAUGAACACAGCUAAUAUACAUAAAACUAUGAACUCAACAAAGGAUUUUUUUGAAGGGGGCAGAAUUCUUAUUUGGGGAAGCAAAGCCGUAAUUCUACCCCCUGCCCACAAGUAGCUACACUUCUACAAUAUGUGUGUUUAUAUGUGUGUGUGUGUGUGUGUGUGUGUGUGUAUGAAGGAGGAAAAAGUCUGAAAUAAGCGCAGCACCCAUUAUUGAAAAUUUAAAACACAUUUACUUUCAAGGAUAUUGAAUGUAAAAAUGUAAUUAAUGUUUACUGUGAUACUCAGACCUUUCGUUGCCAAGCAACACAAGCAUUUGCAUUUUCUUUUAUCUCACCAAUAUUGCAUGGUUGUUUAUAAAUAAAAGCUUUCUAUCUGUGAAUUAGGGAAGAGGGAUGGGGGAAAAGACCAAAACAGAUUUUAUGUAUCAGGUGCAAGAAAAAAUAUCACAUAGCUAACUAUAUACACAUUCGUUUUUGGCGUAUAAUAAAUGGAUAACAUAUAAUAGUAAUUGAAUUUAGCCGCCCUUUGGUAUGGCAAAGCAAUUUUUCGAAAGGAUAAUUGUCUCCUGUUCUGAGAAAUAAUUCAAGGACAUGAAAUAAGCGCUAAGAGGAAGGCA